CCUGACGCAGCGACGCCGCGUGAGGGAAGAAGGUUUUCGGAUUGUAAACCUCUGUCCUCGGUGACGAAACAAAUGACGGUAGCCGAGGAGGAAGCUCCGGCUAACUACGUGCCAGCAGCCGCGGUAAUACGUAGGGAGCAAGCGUUGUCCGGAUUUACUGGGUGCAAAGGGUGCGUAGGCGGCUCUGCAAGUCAGGCGUGAAAACUAUGGGCUUAACUCAUAGACUGCGUUUGAAACUGUGGGGCUUGAGUGAAGUAGAGGUAGGCGGAAUUCCCGGUGUAGCGGUGAAAUGCGUAGAGAUCGGGAGGAGCACCAGUGGCGAAGGCGGCCUACUGGGCUUUAACUGACGCUGAAGCACGAAAGCAUGGGUAGCAAACAGGAUUAGAUACCCCGGUAGUCCAUGCCGUAAACGAUGAUUACUAGGUGUGGGGGGUCUGACCCCUUCCGUGCCGGAGUUAACACAAUAAGUAAUCCACCUGGGGAGUACGGCCGCAAGGUUGAAACUCAAAGGAAUUGACGG
Molecule: ribosomal RNA, 520 nt
Filed under: uncultured bacterium
Lineage: Bacteria
Description: bacterial SSU rRNA
Rfam family: Bacterial small subunit ribosomal RNA
Source: RNAcentral